UGACCGUGCGAAGGUAGCAUAAUCAUUUGUCUUUUAAUUGAAGGCUUGUAUGAAUGGUUGGACGAAAAGCGAUCUGUCUCUAUGGGAGUAAUUGAAUUUAACUUUUGAGUGAAAAGGCUUAAAUGGUCUAGGGGGACGAUAAGACCCUAUAAAGUUUAACAUUAUAGUAGUGAAAGAUUGAUUAAGUUAUAAGAUUUUUUAUUAUAGGUAAUGUUUUGUUGGGGCGACAAGAAUAUAAAUAAUUUAACUGUUCUUUUUUGUAUCAAAUAUGUUUGAGUUAAUGAUCUUUUUUAAGAGUAUUAGAGUAAAUUACUUUAGGGAUAACAGCGUAAUUUUUUUUGAGAGUUCUUAUCGACAAGAAAGUUUGCGACCUCGAUGUUGAAUUAAAGAUUCUUUAUAGUGUAGGUGCUAUGGAAGAAGGUCUGUUCGACCUUUAAAUCUUUACAUGAUUUGAGUUCAGACCGGUGUGAGCCAGGUUGGUUUCUAUCUA
This 490-nucleotide ribosomal RNA is filed under the name Euastacus robertsi. RNAcentral's name for it is "partial 16S ribosomal RNA". It matches the Rfam family "Bacterial large subunit ribosomal RNA", at positions 1943 to 2644 of the family's 2925-position model. The record is from RNAcentral. Lineage: Eukaryota; Metazoa; Arthropoda; Malacostraca; Decapoda; Parastacidae.